Molecule: transfer RNA, 73 nt
Filed under: Patescibacteria group bacterium
Lineage: Bacteria
Description: tRNA-Val
Rfam family: tRNA
About the family: Transfer RNA (tRNA) molecules are approximately 80 nucleotides in length.
Source: RNAcentral
GGACGGUUAGCUCAGUUGGUAGAGCAUUGCGUUUACAUCGCAAGGGCCGCAGGUCCGAGUCCUGCACCGUCCA